Molecule: transfer RNA, 58 nt
Filed under: Syngamus trachea
Lineage: Eukaryota; Metazoa; Nematoda; Chromadorea; Rhabditida; Syngamidae
Description: tRNA-Leu
Source: RNAcentral
AACAUAAUUAGUAUAAAAAUUACGUUAGAUUUAGAAUCUAAAGAGCGAUUUAUGUUGU